UACAAAUGGUGACAGGUCUCCUGAGGAUGCUGCGGUUAGAGAGCAGUCUCAGUGACGGAGGCAUCUCAAAUGUGGUUUAAGGGGAGAGAGCACAAGGUACAUGCCCACUCUGUCAUAACACAAAGCUCCACCCUUCAGCAUGCAGCCCGAAAGAGUGAGUCACCAGGCACAGAUGCCAAGGCUGAAAGAAUGCUGCAUCAUCCUAUGAAGAGCUGACUGAAGAAGAGCCUGAGGAUUGGGAAGCCGUUGUUCUCUGUUCUUGGAAGAGAUUGAAGAGUAACAGACAAUGAAUGAGUGCUAUCUGCCAGUUGGGUGACUUGUUUCAUUCUCUGAACAAGUAUGUCCCAAGUUUGGAAGGCAUUGAUAAUAGAAAGGUUGCAAAUGUCUUCCCCCCUAUUGGACCAUGGUGAGUAAGAGUUGCCAGGUGAAAGACAAGAAAACCAAGCAAGACUAAAAGUGAUACAUCUUAGAGGUGACAGGCUCAGAGGACGAUGGGCCCAGAGGUGCAGAGAGAAGAUUCAGAUCCUCAGAGAAAGAACUCCACGGACUAUGUAUGAAGAAGCAAGCCAGAAAUAAGACACACCAAGCAAUGAAUAUUGUCUGAGCUACAUAGUUGAUUAGGAUUCAUCUAUCCCAAGCCAGAAAAUAAUAAUGAGCCCAGUGAAAAGGUCAAGGAAUUGAGAGGCAUCAGACAUGGAGGCAAAAAAUUAAAUUCCCAACAACCACUCCUCCAAACACUUUAAGCCUUGUGCCUGGGCCAUGUAUUCCAAAGCCACAGUGGGAGCUGUGGGAAAUAAAUGUCUAAUGGAAUACA
Molecule: long non-coding RNA, 814 nt
Organism: Mesocricetus auratus (golden hamster)
Lineage: Eukaryota; Metazoa; Chordata; Mammalia; Rodentia; Cricetidae
Exons: 3
Source: RefSeq, a predicted model, not a curated record